GCCGCGGUCGCUUAAUUGGUUAUAGCGGAGGAUUGAUAACCCUCUGCCAGAAAUGGCUUCUGGGUUCGAAUCCCAGCCGCGGCG
This 84-nucleotide transfer RNA is filed under the name Nanobdellati archaeon. RNAcentral describes it as "DPANN group archaeon (marine metagenome) tRNA-Ile". It matches the Rfam family "tRNA". Rfam says of the family: Transfer RNA (tRNA) molecules are approximately 80 nucleotides in length. Their secondary structure includes four short double-helical elements and three loops (D, anti-codon, and T loops). The record is from RNAcentral. Lineage: Archaea; Nanobdellati.